RNAcentral lists this ribosomal RNA (253 nucleotides) under uncultured bacterium. RNAcentral describes it as "partial 16S ribosomal RNA". It matches the Rfam family "Bacterial small subunit ribosomal RNA", at positions 524 to 776 of the family's 1533-position model. The record is from RNAcentral.
UACGGAGGGUGCAAGCGUUAUCCGGAUCCACUGGGUUUAAAGGGUGCGUAGGAGGGCAGGUAAGUCAGUGGUGAAAUCUCCAAGCUUAACUUGGAAACUGCCGUUGAUACUAUCUGUCUUGAAUAUUGUGGAGGUGAGCGGAAUAUGUCAUGUAGCGGUGAAAUGCUUAGAUAUGACAUAGAACACCAAUUGCGAAGGCAGCUCGCUACACAUAUACUGACUCUGAGGCACGAAAGCGUGGGGAUCAAACAGG